Molecule: ribosomal RNA, 462 nt
Filed under: uncultured bacterium
Lineage: Bacteria
Description: partial 16S ribosomal RNA
Rfam family: Bacterial small subunit ribosomal RNA
Source: RNAcentral
GACGAACGCUGGCGGCGUGCUUAACACAUGCAAGUCGAACGGUAAGGCCUUUCGGGGUACACGAGUGGCGAACGGGUGAGUAACACGUGGGUGAUCUGCCCUGCACUUCGGGAUAAGCCCGGGAAACUGGGUCUAAUACCGGAUAGGACUGCGCGGUGCAUGCCGUGUGGUGGAAAGAUUUAUCGGUGCAGGAUGGGCCCGCGGCCUAUCAGCUUGUUGGUGGGGUAAUGGCCUACCAAGGCGACGACGGGUAGCCGGCCUGAGAGGGCGACCGGCCACACUGGGACUGAGACACGGCCCAGACUCCUACGGGAGGCAGCAGUGGGGAAUAUUGUACAAUGGGCGCAAGCCUGAUGCAGCGACGCCGCGUGAGGGAUGACGGCCUUCGGGUUGUAAACCUCUUUCAGCAGGGACGAAGCGUGAGUGACGGUACCUGCAGAAGAAGCACCGGCCAACUACGUG